Molecule: ribosomal RNA, 500 nt
Filed under: uncultured bacterium
Lineage: Bacteria
Description: partial 16S ribosomal RNA
Rfam family: Bacterial small subunit ribosomal RNA
Source: RNAcentral
AUUGAACGCUGGCGGAAUGCUUUACACGUGCAAGUCGAACGGCAGCACGGACUUCGGUCUGGUGGCGAGUGGCGAACGGGUGAGUAAUGUAUCGGAACGUGCCCAGUCGUGGGGGAUAACGUAGUGAAAAUUACGCUAAUACCGCAUACGAUCUAUGGAUGAAAGCGGGGGAUCGCAAGACCUCGCGCGAUUGGAGCGGCCGAUAUCAGAUUAGGUAGUUGGUAGGGUAAAGGCCCACCAAGCCAACGAUCCGUAGCUGGUCUGAGAGGACGACCAGCCACACUGGAACUGAGACACGGUCCAGACUCCUACGGGAGGCAGCAGUGGGGAAUUUUGGACAAUGGGCGAAAGCCUGAUUCAGCCAUUCCGCGUGCAGGAUGAAGGCCCUCGGGUUGUAAACUGCUUUUGUACAGAACGAAAAGGUUUCUACUAAUACUAGGAGCUCAUGACGGUACUGUAAGAAUAAGCACCGGCUAACUACGUGCCAGCCGCCGCGGUAA